RNAcentral lists this ribosomal RNA (467 nucleotides) under Candidatus Jettenia sp. enrichment culture. RNAcentral describes it as "bacterial SSU rRNA". It matches the Rfam family "Bacterial small subunit ribosomal RNA", at positions 338 to 796 of the family's 1533-position model. The record is from RNAcentral. Lineage: Bacteria; Pseudomonadati; Planctomycetota; Candidatus Brocadiia; Candidatus Brocadiales; Candidatus Brocadiaceae.
CCUACGGGAGGCUGCAGUCGAGAAUCUUUCGCAAUGCCCGGAAGGGUGACGAAGCGACGCCGCGUGUGGGAAGAAGGCCUUCGGGUUGUAAACCACUGUCGGGAGUUAAGAAGUGUAAGGGGGUGAAUAGCCCUCUUACUUGACGUUAGCUCCGGAGGAAGCCACGGCUAACUCUGUGCCAGCAGCCGCGGUAAUACAGAGGUGGCAAGCGUUGUUCGGAAUUAUUGGGCGUAAAGAGCACGUAGGCGGCCCUACAAGUCAGCUGUGAAAUCCUUCUGCUCAACGGAAGAACGGCAGUUGAUACUAUAGGGCUGGAGUGCGGGAGGGGAGAGUGGAACUUCUGGUGGAGCGGUGAAAUGCGUAGAUAUCAGAAGGAACAUCGGCGGCGAAAGCGACUCUCUGGCCCGUAACUGACGCUGAGGUGCGAAAGCUAGGGGAGCAAACGGGAUUAGAUACCCGGGUAGUCC